RNAcentral lists this ribosomal RNA (503 nucleotides) under uncultured bacterium. RNAcentral's name for it is "partial 16S ribosomal RNA". It matches the Rfam family "Bacterial small subunit ribosomal RNA", at positions 30 to 523 of the family's 1533-position model. The record is from RNAcentral.
AUUGAACGCUGGCGGCAGGCUUAACACAUGCAAGUCGAGCGGGGUGAUGGUGCUUGCACUAUCACUUAGCGGCGGACGGGUGAGUAAUGCUUAGGAAUCUGCCUAUUAGUGGGGGACAACAUCUCGAAGGGGAUGCUAAUACCGCAUACGUCCUACGGGAGAAAGCAGGGGAUCACUUGUGACCUUGCGCUAAUAGAUGAGCCUAAGUCGGAUUAGCUAGUUGGUGGGGUAAAGGCCUACCAAGGCGACGAUCUGUAGCGGUUAUGAGAGGAUGAUCCGCAACACUGGGACUGAGAGACGGCCCAGACUCCUACGGGAGGCAGCAGUGGGGAAUAUUGGACAAUGGGGGGAACCCUGAUCCAGCCAUGCCGCGUGUGUGAAGAAGGCCUUAUGGUUGUAAAGCACUUUAAGCGAGGAGGAGGCUCUUUUGGUUAAUACCCAAGAUGAGUGGACGUUACUCGCAGAAUAAGCACCGGCUAACUCUGUGCCAGCAGCCGCAGUAA